This 566-nucleotide ribosomal RNA is filed under the name uncultured Chryseobacterium sp. RNAcentral describes it as "bacterial SSU rRNA". It matches the Rfam family "Bacterial small subunit ribosomal RNA", at positions 505 to 1076 of the family's 1533-position model. Lineage: Bacteria; Pseudomonadati; Bacteroidota; Flavobacteriia; Flavobacteriales; Weeksellaceae. The record is from RNAcentral.
GUGCCAGCCGCCGCGGUAAUACGGAGGGUGCAAGCGUUAUCCGGAUUUAUUGGGUUUAAAGGGUCCGUAGGCGGAUGCGUAAGUCAGUGGUGAAAUCUCACAGCUCAACUGUGAAACUGCCAUUGAUACUGCGUGUCUUGAGUGAGGUUGAAGUAGCUGGAAUAAGUAGUGUAGCGGUGAAAUGCAUAGAUAUUACUUAGAACACCAAUUGCGAAGGCAGGUUACUAAGUCUCAACUGACGCUGAUGGACGAAAGCGUGGGGAGCGAACAGGAUUAGAUACCCUGGUAGUCCACGCUGUAAACGAUGCUAACUCGUUUUUGGGGAUUUAUCUUCAGAGACUAAGCGAAAGUGAUAAGUUAGCCACCUGGGGAGUACGAACGCAAGUUUGAAACUCAAGGGAAUUGACGGGGGCCCGCACAAGCGGUGGAUUAUGUGGUUUAAUUCGAUGAUACGCGAGGAACCUUACCAAGGCUUAAAUGGGAAUUGAUCGGUUUAGAAAUAGACCUUCCUUCGGGCAAUUUUCAAGGUGCUGCAUGGUUGUCGUCAGCUCGUGCCGUGAGGUGUU